RNAcentral lists this ribosomal RNA (251 nucleotides) under uncultured bacterium. Its description in RNAcentral is "partial 16S ribosomal RNA". It matches the Rfam family "Bacterial small subunit ribosomal RNA", at positions 524 to 776 of the family's 1533-position model. The record is from RNAcentral.
UACGUAGGGUGCGAGCGUUAAUCGGAAUUACUGGGCGUAAAGCGUGCGCAGGCGGUUUGUAAGCCAGAUGUGAAAUCCCCGGGCUUAACCUGGGAAUGGCAUUUGGGACUGCAAGGCUUGAGUGCGGCAGAGGAGACUGGAAUUCCUGGUGUAGCAGUGAAAUGCGUAGAUAUCAGGAGGAACACCGAUGGCGAAGGCAGGUCUCUGGGCCGAUACUGACGCUGAGGAGCGAAAGCGUGGGAGCGAACAGG